This is a long non-coding RNA of Orcinus orca (killer whale), 2262 nucleotides long. RefSeq lists it as uncharacterized. The record is from RefSeq and is a predicted model, not a curated record. The transcript has 2 exons. NCBI's taxonomy places the organism in Eukaryota, Metazoa, Chordata, Mammalia, Artiodactyla, Delphinidae.
AGUCUGGAAAGAGAACUUAUUUCAGUCAUACCUGGUUUCCCAAAUAAUUAGUCAUCUGUUUUCUUCUACCUACCACAGGUAGAGUCCUCCAGAAGCAGAUGCUGAGAUGGCGCUCAGAGUGCAAGCUGUUACCUGUGAAGGGAAAGGCAGAGGGAGAAAUGAAACCAUGAUGAAGGCCCCGCAAAACCUCGACCAACCAGCUGAGUUAAUACUCUGUAUUGACUGUGAGGUCUUUCCCAAGACUGGUCAAAAUAGCCAAGCUUUGUAUGCGACCUUGCUCAGUCACUAAUGCGGGCUGAGCCAUGAAGGGCAUAAUCUCAGUGUGGAGAAUAACUGUGGGAUUCUGCAAAAUGCUGAAUGGGAAAGUAGCACAAGAACACAAUAACAAAGAGCCUUUCCUGCUGCAAGGAAGAGUACUCCUGUUGGCAUGGAGAACCUCUAACACUGGGACUGCAAAAUGGCAAACCUGUGAAAAGAAAGAGAUUUCUAUAUUCAGAAAUACAGGAUACCUUUAAAGUAGUGUCAGUUUAAUGUGUGUGUGUGUGUGUGUGUGUGUGUGUGUGUGUGUAUAGACACAUGAUUUUUUUGUCUCUGUAAGUAUGUACAAAUCUUUUAUUUAAAAUCUCUUUGGUUGGGUUUAUGAAAGGUUUCUCUCUUUGGAGUUUGUCUUAAAUAUAAUAAUCCAGGGCUUAUACUCAGAGGGCACAUGUCAAAAUAGCCACACUAUUUAUUAAAUAUUGAAAUAUUUUUCUACCCAUUGGGAAAUGGUAUAGUAGUAAAUGUGAAUGAGAUAAAUUCUAAAAUUAAUUAAUGAAUUUCAGCACAUGUGGUUUUUCUCAGAAACCACACAUCACUGUGAUUCCAAGAUUUUAAAAAUUUUUCUGGUCUGGGCACUGGAGCACAGAACUGGAAGGCCCAUUGAAGAGAUCCUGUUAUUUAUUUCAGGUGUUGAGGAAUUUCUUUUGGGUUCAAAUGUCCCUGGUUGGGAGAAGGGAAAUCACACAGUCACAUUGAGGAGAAAUUUGGUGACGGUUGAAGAGUUUGGGAGAAGCCUGGGGCACAGGCAGCACAAGUGGGGCUUAAAUCACUCAAGUAUGAUUGGGACACUUUGCUUUAUUGGAAAACUCUUCCCUGGUGGUACUGACCAUCCCUGCACCAUGUGCAGAGGUUUAUGAGAAGGGGAUCUCCUGGGAUCCCUUUCAAAGGUCAAAAGAAUGUGAAAUGCAAGGAGUAACAAUGAGACCCUUCUCUCUGUCCCCUCCCUACUGCUCAUAGCCAGUUCUCCCCAUGGAGAAACCUCAAGAUACCCUGGCCCUCCCACCCCUGCCCCUGUCUGCUCCUACAACUCUUCCAAGCACUGGCGCUGGCUGAGUCUGGAAGCAAUUGCCCUUUCUCUUUACCUCUUCUUUCCCAUCUUGCAUUUGUCCUGCUUAUUAACUGGGCUUCAACUGGCUGUCCCCGUCCCAGCACCAGUUGUUUCCUGACUGGACUUUGCAGAGAGGCAACCAUCUCGCCUUUCUUGCGUGGAACAAAGCAGGCAAAACACGCAGAUUCUUAAUCAGGUAACUAGAAUUGGCCAACAACCACCCCCCUUGUCCCCUCUUCCUAACUUUCUUUUGUUUUGAUAGGAUUUAUUAUUAUUUAGGAUGGUAAGGCCAACAUAUCAGGAGACAAUGGCCAUUGGAAAAAAUUAUUAUUAUACACACAGAUCCCAAGUGAGAGAAUACAGGUCAUGCCACUGAGGGCCACAGGGAAGCACCAGGCAGUCAGGAGGCAGAGCGAAAAAACUGCCUUUAGCCAGAGCCUUUAUCAUGUUUUCCAUAUGCAGGGUAAACAGGUUUGGGAUUGACUAGUCUGAAUCAUUUCAGUGGACUUUGGAGCAUAGGAGCUGUCCCAGGUGUCUCACAUCUGGCCCUGCAGUGAUUAGGGCUGGUGGACUGUGGCCAGGAGUGUGAGAGCCUAAUAAGGGAGGUGGUGAGAAGUGUAGACUCUGAACUGGUUGGUUUGUAUUUGGAAAGAUUGGCCCUGGGAGGAUGAUUCCUCCUGAGGGGGAAGAAAGCAAAGGAGGCCAAGGCAAGGUGACUCAGAGAAAUUACCAGGUUGUUUGGAAUAAGGUAUCUCUGGUACAUGCACAUAGGGCAGAUUUUAAAUCAUCAAGUUUGCAGAAACUAGAAACAUGAUUAAUACACUCUUUCCCUCUCAUCCUUUUUUUUUCUCCUCCUCUGGCUUUCCAACUUCUAUCAAUAAAUAUAUGACAAAGGG